This 468-nucleotide ribosomal RNA is filed under the name uncultured bacterium. RNAcentral describes it as "partial 16S ribosomal RNA". It matches the Rfam family "Bacterial small subunit ribosomal RNA", at positions 28 to 507 of the family's 1533-position model. The record is from RNAcentral.
GACGAACGCUGGCGGCGUGCUUAACACAUGCAAGUCGAACGGAAAGGCCCUGCUUUUGUGGGGUGCUCGAGUGGCGAACGGGUGAGUAACACGUGAGUAACCUGCCCUUGACUUUGGGAUAACUUCAGGAAACUGGGGCUAAUACCGGAUAGGAGCUCCUGCUGCAUGGUGGGGGUUGGAAAGUUUCGGCGGUUGGGGAUGGACUCGCGGCUUAUCAGCUUGUUGGUGGGGUAGUGGCUUACCAAGGCUUUGACGGGUAGCCGGCCUGAGAGGGUGACCGGCCACACUGGGACUGAGAGACGGCCCAGACUCCUACGGGAGGCAGCAGUGGGGAAUAUUGCACAAUGGGCGGCAGCCUGAUGCAGCAACGCCGCGUGCGGGAUGACGGCCUUCGGGUUGUAAACCGCUUUCGCCUGUGGCGAAGCGUGAGUGACGGUAAUGGGUAAAGAAGCACCGGCUAACUACGUG